RNAcentral lists this ribosomal RNA (1039 nucleotides) under Klebsiella pneumoniae. Its description in RNAcentral is "partial 23S ribosomal RNA". It matches the Rfam family "Bacterial large subunit ribosomal RNA", at positions 460 to 1506 of the family's 2925-position model. The record is from RNAcentral. Lineage: Bacteria; Pseudomonadati; Pseudomonadota; Gammaproteobacteria; Enterobacterales; Enterobacteriaceae.
CCAAGGCUAAAUACUCCUGACUGACCGAUAGUGAACCAGUACCGUGAGGGAAAGGCGAAAAGAACCCCGGCGAGGGGAGUGAAAAAGAACCUGAAACCGUGUACGUACAAGCAGUGGGAGCACCUUCGGGUGUGACUGCGUACCUUUUGUAUAAUGGGUCAGCGACUUAUAUUCUGUAGCAAGGUUAACCGUAUAGGGGAGCCGCAGGGAAACCGAGUCUUAACUGGGCGUUAAGUUGCAGGGUAUAGACCCGAAACCCGGUGAUCUAGCCAUGGGCAGGUUGAAGGUUGGGUAACACUAACUGGAGGACCGAACCGACUAAUGUUGAAAAAUUAGCGGAUGACUUGUGGCUGGGGGUGAAAGGCCAAUCAAACCGGGAGAUAGCUGGUUCUCCCCGAAAGCUAUUUAGGUAGCGCCUCGUGAACUCAUCUUCGGGGGUAGAGCACUGUUUCGGCUAGGGGGUCAUCCCGACUUACCAACCCGAUGCAAACUACGAAUACCGAAGAAUGUUAUCACGGGAGACACACGGCGGGUGCUAACGUCCGUCGUGAAGAGGGAAACAACCCAGACCGCCAGCUAAGGUCCCAAAGUCAUGGUUAAGUGGGAAACGAUGUGGGAAGGCACAGACAGCCAGGAUGUUGGCUUAGAAGCAGCCAUCAUUUAAAGAAAGCGUAAUAGCUCACUGGUCGAGUCGGCCUGCGCGGAAGAUGUAACGGGGCUAAACCAUGCACCGAAGCUGCGGCAGCGACACUAUGUGUUGUUGGGUAGGGGAGCGUUCUGUAAGCCUGCGAAGGUGACCUGUGAGGGUUGCUGGAGGUAUCAGAAGUGCGAAUGCUGACAUAAGUAACGAUAAAGCGGGUGAAAAGCCCGCUCGCCGGAAGACCAAGGGUUCCUGUCCAACGUUAAUCGGGGCAGGGUGAGUCGACCCCUAAGGCGAGGCCGAAAGGCGUAGUCGAUGGGAAACAGGUUAAUAUUCCUGUACUUGGUGUUACUGCGAAGGGGGGACGGAGAAGGCUAUGUUAGCCGGGCGACGGUUGUC